UUGAUGUUCUAGACAUUGAGAAGGUGUCAAAUUAUGUUGCUGGGUUGCAAAAUGAAGAUGGAUCAUUUUCCGGGGAUGAAUGGGGUGAAGUUGAUACAAGAUUCUCCUAUAUUGCAAUAUGCUGCCUUGCAUUGGUGCAUCAGUUGAAUAAAAUUAAUGUUGAGAAGGUUGUGAAGUAUAUAGUUAGUUGCAAAAACCUGGAUGGUGGAUUUGGAUGUACACCGGGUGGAGAGUCUCAU
Long non-coding RNA from Humulus lupulus (European hop), 239 nucleotides. RefSeq lists it as uncharacterized. The transcript is spliced from 3 exons. The record is from RefSeq and is a predicted model, not a curated record. Lineage: Eukaryota; Viridiplantae; Streptophyta; Magnoliopsida; Rosales; Cannabaceae.